Molecule: ribosomal RNA, 446 nt
Filed under: uncultured bacterium
Lineage: Bacteria
Description: bacterial SSU rRNA
Rfam family: Bacterial small subunit ribosomal RNA
Source: RNAcentral
CCAGACUCCUACGGGAGGCAGCAGUGGGGAAUAUUGGGCAAUGGGCGCAAGCCUGACCCAGCAACGCCGCGUGAAGGAAGAAGGCUUUCGGGUUGUAAACUUCUUUUGACAGGGAAGAGCAGAAGACGGUACCUGUCGAAUAAGCCACGGCUAACUACGUGCCAGCAGCCGCGGUAAUACGUAGGUGGCAAGCGUUGUCCGGAUUUACUGGGUGUAAAGGGCGUGUAGCCGGGCUUACAAGUCAGAUGUGAAAUCCGGGGGCUCAACCCCCGAACUGCAUUUGAAACUGUAGGUCUUGAGUAUCGGAGAGGCAGGCGGAAUUCCUGGUGUAGCGGUGAAAUGCGUAGAUAUCAGGAGGAACACCGGCGGCGAAGGCGGCCUGCUGGACCGUGACUGACGUUGAGGCUCGAGAGCGUGGGGAGCAAACAGGAUUAGAUACCCCUGUA